Molecule: ribosomal RNA, 774 nt
Filed under: uncultured Neocallimastigales
Lineage: Eukaryota; Fungi; Neocallimastigomycota; Neocallimastigomycetes; Neocallimastigales
Description: partial large subunit ribosomal RNA
Rfam family: Eukaryotic large subunit ribosomal RNA
Source: RNAcentral
CGCAUCUGUGCAUGCAGCAUAUCAAUAAGCGGAGGAAAAGAAACUAACAAGGAUUCCCCUAGUAACGGCGAGUGAAGCGGGAAGAGCUCAAAUUUGAAAUCUUAAAGGGUUUCCCUUUACGAAUUGUAGUUUAAAGAAGUGUUUUCUGUUGAGGUUUUGGUAAAAGUUCUUUGGAAUAGGACAUCAUAGAGGGUGAGAAUCCCGUAUUUGACCUUUACUUUCAACUUUGUGAUACACUUUCAAAGAGUCGGAUUGUUUGGGAAUGCAGUCCAAAAUGGGUGGUAAAUUUCAUCUAAAGCUAAAUAUUGGCGAGAGACCGAUAGCGAACAAGUACCGUGAGGGAAAGAUGAAAAGAACUUUGAAAAGAGAGUUAAACAGUACGUGAAAUUGUCAAAAGGGAAGCGUUUGACACCAGUGUUGUUUUUCUGAAAAUCAAUUAAAGAACUGUUUAUGCUAAGUUGUUUAGACUUUAUCAGCUAACUGUUUAGUUUUGAGCUUUUCUUUAAUGCACUUUUCAGUUAACAAGUCGACAUCAAUUUCUUUUGCUGUAAAAAAGCUUGAGGAAGGUGGCUUGAGAUUCGUCUUAAGUGUUUAUAGCCUCUUGCCUAUGCAGUCGGAGAGAUUGAGGUCUGCAGCGUAGAUCCUUCGGGGCUAAAUGCAUUUGUGCUAAGUUAUAGCAUUUUAUAGACAACUUGUUGACUAUGAUUUGUCUUGUAGCUUACUCGCUUAUGUUAUUUUACCUACGCUUAGGAUGUUGAACGCGCACAGAGUCUC